GCUAACUCCGUGCCAGCAGCCGCGGUAAUACGGAGGGUGCAAGCGUUAUCCGGAUUUAUUGGGUUUAAAGGGUCCGUAGGCGGAUCGUUAAGUCAGCGGUGAAAGCCCUCUGCUCAACAGAGGAACUGCCGUUGAUACUGGCGAUCUUGAAUGUGUAUGAAGUUGGCGGAAUGUGUGGUGUAGCGGUGAAAUGCUUAGAUAUCACACAGAACACCGAUUGCGAAGGCAGCUGACUAAUACAAUAUUGACGCUGAGGGACGAAAGUGUGGGGAUCAAACAGGAUUAGAUACCCUGGUAGUC
Molecule: ribosomal RNA, 300 nt
Filed under: uncultured Alistipes sp.
Lineage: Bacteria; Pseudomonadati; Bacteroidota; Bacteroidia; Bacteroidales; Rikenellaceae
Description: bacterial SSU rRNA
Rfam family: Bacterial small subunit ribosomal RNA
Source: RNAcentral